GGGACAGAAACCAAAGGUACCCGACAUUAGUAGACGUACAGAUUAUUGUCAGCUGAACAAAGUGAUUUAUACUGAUGUGUGGAUAUCUGUCUUCUUUUUAGUAACUGCUAAGGCACUUCCAAAAUUAUCUAGCCAGUCCAGAAUAAGCUCAUGUUGUCGUUUCCUCCUUGAUAGCUCUGCAGAGGUUCAGGUGUAAAGCAAGACUCAGUGUGGGGCCUCUGGAUGGCAGCUGACAGAAACAGCUGAUAUCAUGAAUUUAGAUGAGGCCUAAAAAAAUCCAACCGGCACCGAACCCAGACACUGUGUCUGAGUCUGGUCAGACCCAUCUAUUGACAUUAACACAGCAGAUUCAAAGGAUUGUAUGACCUCCUCAUACAAUUGGUGGCCACCAAAUGCUCCAGAAACUUGUUAAACAUCCCUUCAUUCAAGUCAGGUGUUUGGAAUCAAGGAAACACCUAAAACAGUGGACAGGGGCGCCGGCAAGGUAUUAUCGGAAGGUACAAUACCAUCACUGCACCUGACCAACAACAGCACAACCACCAACC
This is a long non-coding RNA of Gambusia affinis (western mosquitofish), 545 nucleotides long. RefSeq lists it as uncharacterized. The transcript is spliced from 3 exons. The record is from RefSeq and is a predicted model, not a curated record. NCBI's taxonomy places the organism in Eukaryota, Metazoa, Chordata, Actinopteri, Cyprinodontiformes, Poeciliidae.